CAGCCGCCGCGGUAAUACUCGCGGUUCAAGUCGCAGCCAUUUUUAUUGGGUCUAAAACAUCCGUAGCUUGCUUGAUAAGUUUCUUGUGAAAUCCCAUAUCUUAAAUAUGGAACGUGCAGGAAGUACUGUCAAGCUAGAGACUGGGAGACGUAAGAAGUACGAUCGAAGUAGCGGUAAAAUGUGUUAAUCUCGAUCGGACUCACAAUAGCGAAGGCAUCUUACGAGAACAGUUCUGACAGUAAGGGAUGAAGGCUAGGGGCGCAAAACGGAUUAGAUACCCGUGUAGUCCUAGCUGUUAACACAGCACACUAAACAUCGGGACCUCUUCGUGAGGUUUCGGUGCUGAAGGGAAGCCGAAGAGUGUGCUACCUGGGAAGUAUAGUCGCAAGGCCGAAACUUAAAGGAAUAGGCGGGGAGACACUACAACGAGUGACGCGUGCGGUUCAAUUAGAUUAUACACCGUGAACCUCACCAGGAGCGACAGCAGGAUGAAGGUCAGUCUGAAGGGCUUACCUGACACGCUGAGAGGAGCUGCAUGGCCGACGUCAGCCUGUGCCGUGAGGUGACCUGUUAAAUCAGGUAACAGGCAAGACCCGCAUGUAUAUUUACCAAGUGUACCAUAUACAGAUUGCUCUGGUAACAGAGAUGAAAGUUCGGGCUACGUUAGGUGAGUACAGCCCGAAUCCCCUGGGCGACACGCGCGCGUCAAUGGUGGAUACAACGGGAUGCGACACCGAAAGGUGAAGCCAAUCUCUUAAAGUCCAUCUUAGUCUAGAUCGAAGUUUGCAACUCAACUUCGUGACACUGGAAUUCGUAGUAAUCGUUUGUUAUCAACGAACGGUGAAUAUGUCACUGUCUCUUGCACUAACUGCCCGUUAAAUCAACCGAGCCUAGUUAGGCCCAAAAACUUCGCCGGAAAAUCUGCGAUGGGGAAGAAAGGUUAAGUCGUAACAAGGUAACCGUA
This 964-nucleotide ribosomal RNA is filed under the name uncultured archaeon BURTON-41. Its description in RNAcentral is "partial 16S ribosomal RNA". It matches the Rfam family "Archaeal small subunit ribosomal RNA", at positions 459 to 1451 of the family's 1478-position model. The record is from RNAcentral. Lineage: Archaea; Methanobacteriati; Methanobacteriota.